Molecule: transfer RNA, 73 nt
Filed under: Rhizobium phage RHph_TM21B
Lineage: Duplodnaviria; Heunggongvirae; Uroviricota; Caudoviricetes; Kleczkowskaviridae
Also listed under: 1 other name
Rfam family: tRNA
About the family: Transfer RNA (tRNA) molecules are approximately 80 nucleotides in length.
Source: Rfam by way of RNAcentral
GCGGGGUAGCUCAGUUGGUUAGAGCGCUGGACUCAUAAUCCAGAGGUCGAGGGUUCAAAUCCCUCCCACCGCA